GGGCAGUGGCGGGGCCCGGGGCGGGGGCAGCUUUUCUAUUUGGAACAGAUUGGAUGAAGGUUUAGAGAUCCAAGCCACAAGAAGAAGAGAUAACACACCGAGUGCAAUGGUUGCUCCUGCUGGAACUACAAUGUGCCCUUCCAGAAACCUCCUUGAAGUUGGUCUUCUAAGACAGGGUAAUGGAAAUGAAGGGCUGAGUUUCCUUUUGUUGUAAUUGGGCCACAUUUCACUUUGGAGGGUAUGCAGACUUGUAUAAGCUUAGUUAAGUAGGGCCCACAGUCCUACCACAGGGGUGACGUGAGCUUCAUCUCUGCAGCCUUCCAAUGGGAAGCAGUGCAUGAGGCUGCGGGUUUAUUGCUUCAGGGAGUCUUGUCCUUGAUUUCUUGGGAAGGUCCUCAAUAAGGGGGAGUGAACAGAGAGCAAUCUUUGUCAUUUUGUCCACAGCUCCUGACUAUGACUGAAGCCAGUGGCUGGGUU
Molecule: long non-coding RNA, 477 nt
Organism: Mus musculus (house mouse)
Lineage: Eukaryota; Metazoa; Chordata; Mammalia; Rodentia; Muridae
Product: predicted gene, 36498
Exons: 3
Source: RefSeq, a predicted model, not a curated record